CAGUGAGGGAACCUUUCCCCUUUGUUCUGGUGAAAUCCCUGGAGAGAUGUGAGGACCCUCAGGACAGAGAUGAGACACUCAUACAGAAGGCCAAGUGGGGAAAGCGUGUAAGAUCAGUGAGGGAAAGAUUCAGCCUGGAAGCCAUUGCAUCCUGGGAGGGACUGGAGCCCAGAUGAAGGACUGUUGCCCCAGAGGAUCUCCUUUGUGCACUGCUGUGGCUGCUGCCGAAGUCUCCCUCAAAAAGAACAGGAAGGCUUUGAGUGAUGCCUGGGGCGGAUCGAUAAGAGAGGAAAUGAAGACAGGAUUUGGGGUGUUUUCCCUCUACUUUGCAUAUAUAGGUGUGAUUCAGGUGUCUUCGUUUGCUUUGCAGUGAGAGAAAGCAGCAGCCUGGGAACCACCUCCCGGAAGGGAAUGGAGCCCAGGAAAAGGACAGAUGAGUCACAGGAUCUCCUAUAUGCACCACUGUGGCUGCUGCCAAAAGAAAAAAGGCCCUGAGUCAGGCACAUACAGAAGACCAAGGCGGACUUCCGGUUUUCGUCGCAAAGGGAAGAGGGUCGAGAUGUGUGCCAGAGCCUCCUACUGAAGCCACUCAUGUAAAAAGAACAGCCAAACAACCAGGUGGCCACGCUGCUGGCUGAAGUUCUGGCACCUUCCAAACCAAGGCUCAGUCUUAGAACCAGUUUCUUUUGUUUGUUUGUUUGUUUGU
Molecule: long non-coding RNA, 706 nt
Organism: Podarcis muralis (Common wall lizard)
Lineage: Eukaryota; Metazoa; Chordata; Lepidosauria; Squamata; Lacertidae
Source: RefSeq, a predicted model, not a curated record